GUCCUUUAGAAUUAUAUUUAAGGUCUAACCUGCCCACUGAAAUUAUUUAAAUGGCCGCAGUAUUUUGACUGUGCAAAGGUAGCAUAAUCAUUAGUUUUUUAAUUAAAAGCUUGUAUGAAAGGUUGGACGAAGUAAAAUCUGUCUCUAUUUAAAUUAAAAUAGAAUUUAACUUUUAAGUUAAAAGGCUUAAAUUUUAUUAAAAGACGAGAAGACCCUAUAGAGCUUUAUAAUUUAUUUAAUAAUAUUAAUUUGGAAAUAUUAAUAUUUUAUUAAAUAAAAUUAUUUUAUUGGGGUAAUAUAAAGAUUAAAAAAAUUCUUUUUUUUAUUAACAUUGAUUUAUGAUUUUAAUGAUCCAAUUUUAUUGAUUAUAAGAUUAAGUUACCUUAGGGAUAACAGCGUAAUUUUUUUAGAGAGUUCAUAUCGAUAAAAAAGUUUGCGACCUCGAUGUUGGAUUAAAGAAUAUUUUAGGUGCAGAAGCUUAAAAUUUUUGGUCUGUUCGACCAUUAAAUCUUUAC
Molecule: ribosomal RNA, 515 nt
Filed under: Cychrus caraboides caraboides
Lineage: Eukaryota; Metazoa; Arthropoda; Insecta; Coleoptera; Carabidae
Description: partial 16S ribosomal RNA
Rfam family: Bacterial large subunit ribosomal RNA
Source: RNAcentral